UACGAGGGGUGCAAGCGUUGUUCGGAAUUACUGGGCGUAAAGCGUACCGAGGCGGAUUUGCAAGUCAGACGUGAAAGCCUCCGGUUCAACCGGAGAAAGUCGUUUGAAACUGCAAGUCUUGAGUUCUGGGGAGGUGGGUGGAAUUCCUAGUGUAGAGGUGAAAUUCGUAGAGAUUAGGAGGAACACCGGUGGCGAAAGCGGCCCACUAACCAGACACUGACGCUCUAGUACGAAAGCGUGGGUAGCAAACAGG
Molecule: ribosomal RNA, 253 nt
Filed under: uncultured bacterium
Lineage: Bacteria
Description: partial 16S ribosomal RNA
Rfam family: Bacterial small subunit ribosomal RNA
Source: RNAcentral